UUUUAUUUGAGAGUUUGAUCCUGGCUCAGGAUGAACGCUGGCGGCGUGCCUAACACAUGCAAGUUGAGCGAUUUCCUUCGGUAAAGAGCGGCGGACGGGUGAGUAACGCGUGGGUAACCUACCCUGUACACACGGAUAACAUACCGAAAGGUAUGCUAAUACGGGAUAAUAUAUUUGAGAGGCAUCUCUUGAAUAUCAAAGGUGAGCCAGUACAGG
This 216-nucleotide ribosomal RNA is filed under the name Clostridioides difficile. RNAcentral describes it as "partial 16S ribosomal RNA". It matches the Rfam family "Bacterial small subunit ribosomal RNA", at positions 1 to 224 of the family's 1533-position model. Lineage: Bacteria; Bacillati; Bacillota; Clostridia; Peptostreptococcales; Peptostreptococcaceae. The record is from RNAcentral.